AGGAUCAUUAUUGAAUAAGCUUGGUUGGGUUGUUGCUGGCUCUUUGGGGGGCAUGUGCACGCCCAACGCCAAUCUUUUUUACCACCCGUGCACCUUUUGUAGACUUGGAUAUCUCUCGAGGAAACUCGGUGUUGAGGACUGCUGUGCUCCAAAGCCGGCUUUCCUUACAUUUCCAGUCUAUGUCUUUAUAUACACAUUAGUAUGUCUAUGAAUGUCAUUAUGGGACUUGAUUGUCCAAUAAACGUUAUACAACUUUCAACAACGGAUCUCUUGGCUCUCGCAUCGAUGAAGAACGCAGCGAAAUGCGAUAAGUAAUGUGAAUUGCAGAAUUCAGUGAAUCAUCGAAUCUUUGAACGCACCUUGCGCUCCUUGGUAUUCCGAGGAGCAUGCCUGUUUGAGUGUCAUGAAAUUCUCAAACCUUUUCGUCUUAUGUUUCUAAGUCGACUGGGCUUGGAUGUGGGAGUUUGCGGGCUUCUCUAUCUGAAGUCGGCUCUCCUUAAAUUUAUUAGUAGGGACCUCCGUUGCCUUAUCAUUUGGUGUGAUAAUUAUCUACGCCAUCAUGUAAAAGCAGCUUUAAUUUGUUUCGGGGGGGAGGGGUUACUGCUCUCUAACUGUCCCUUUUGGACAUUUUUAUGACAAUUUGACCUCAAAUCAGGUAGGACUACCCGCUGAACUUAAGCAUAUCAAUAAGCGGAGGAAAAGAAACUAACAAGGAUUCCCCUAGUAACUGCGAGUGAAGCGGGAAAAGCUCAAAUUUAAAAUCUGAGGGUCUUUGUGACCUUCCGAGUUGUAAUCUAGAGAAGUGCUAUCCGCGCUGGACCGUGUACAAGUCUCCUGGAACGGAGCGUCAUAGAGGGUGAGAAUCCCGUCUUUGACACGGACUACCAGGGCUUUGUGAUGUGCUCUCAAAGAGUCGAGUUGUUUGGGAAUGCAGCUCUAAAUGGGUGGUAAAUUCCAUCUAAAGCUAAAUAUUGGCGAGAGACCGAUAGCGAACAAGUACCGUGAGGGAAAGAUGAAAAGAACUUUGGAAAGAGAGUUAAACAGUACGUGAAAUUGUUGAAAGGGAAACGCUUGAAGUCAGUCGCGUUGGUCAGGAAUCAACCUUGCAUUUGCUUGGCGUACUUUCUGGUUAACGGGUCAGCAUCAAUUUUGACCGGUGGAUAAAGGUUAGGGGAAUGUGGCAUCUUCGGAUGUGUUUAUAGCCUCUGGUCGCAUACAUCGGUUGGGAUUGAGGAACUCAGCAUGCCGAAAGGCCGGGUUUAAACCACGUACGUG
RNAcentral lists this ribosomal RNA (1275 nucleotides) under Tricholoma sp. 2E1. RNAcentral's name for it is "eukaryotic LSU rRNA". The stretch from base 642 to 1275 matches the Rfam family "Eukaryotic large subunit ribosomal RNA", at positions 1 to 621 of the family's 3401-position model. Lineage: Eukaryota; Fungi; Basidiomycota; Agaricomycetes; Agaricales; Tricholomataceae. The record is from RNAcentral.